AACGAACGCUGACGGCGUGCCUAACACAUGCAAGUCGAACGAGAAAAUUCUGGCUUGCCAGAAUGAGUAAAGUGGCGCACGGGUGAGUAACGCGUGGGUAAUCUGCCUUUAAGUUAGGGAUAACACUGCGAAAGCGGUGCUAAUACCUGAUAAGCUCACAGUUUUAAUUAAGCAGUGGGAAAAGGUGGCCUCUGACAUAAGCUAUCGCUUGAAGAUGAGCCCGCGUACCAUUAGCUAGUUGGUAGGGUAAUGGCCUACCAAAGCGACGAUGGUUAGCUGGCCUGAGAGGGCGGCCAGCCACACUGGAACUGAGAUACGGUCCAGACUCCUACGGGAGGCUG
This 341-nucleotide ribosomal RNA is filed under the name uncultured Pseudomonadota bacterium. RNAcentral describes it as "bacterial SSU rRNA". It matches the Rfam family "Bacterial small subunit ribosomal RNA", at positions 29 to 351 of the family's 1533-position model. Lineage: Bacteria; Pseudomonadati; Pseudomonadota. The record is from RNAcentral.